AUCAUCUUCUUCUCACUUCCAUCUUCUUCAUCUUCUUCUUCUUUUUCUUCUUAAUACAAUUUCAUGGUAUAAGAGCAAAGCUAGUAAUCUCUAGCCUGUGGUUCGAUCUUAAUCCUACGGAAUCGACUUCCCAAUUACUGUUAGUGUUCUUGAAAUCUUGGUCGAGAAUGGCGAUCAACGAUCUGCUGAAUCAUAAAACUGAGCAUCAUACUUAAGCACCGUCUCCAACUCCUACAUUGGGGGUGAAUCAAGUGCCUGGAAUAGACUACAAUCAUCCGUUAUUUCUGUCUCCUUCAGAUGUCAGUGGAAUUCAAAUCAUAUCAUUUCAAUUGACAGGAGCAGAAUGCAAGUUCCUCUUGGGGCACCCAAAACUUUGUCUCUGCACUUGGUGGUAGAGCACCAUCUUCCAGUUAUCAUCAUGGAGUGAGUCAUUCAGGGUUGAAAGAUGAAAGGUUGGAAGUUGGGAAAUCAUUUCCUAGAGAUGGUAAUUUUUCUGUUGGCAGGCAGAAUUGGGACAUGAAAUUUAAAGAUGCUUUCUGUGCUGCUCAAGCAGUGGCUGAGUCUGCAGAACGUGCAAGCUUAGCUGCCAGAGCUGUUGUAGAACUUUCAAGGCAAUAGUAUGUUGAUGAUAGUGGUUCAUGCCACUUAGGUUUCAAGGAUGAACGGUUGGAACCUGGGCAAUCAUUUCUUGGAGAUGGUAAUGGUAAUUUUUCUGUUGGCAGGAGAAUUGGAACAUGAAAUUUAAGGAUGCUACCUGUGCUGCUCAAGCAGCGGUUGAGUUUGCAGAACAUGCGAUCCUAGCUGCUAGAGCUGUUGUACAACUUUCAAGGGUUACAAGGCAAUUUUCCUCAGACUCUCAAGGUCAUAUUCCUAGUGAAGCUGUUAAUAAGAACUCUCAUGAUUCUGCCUCCGUUGCUCUUGAUGAUUCUAGCUCAGAAGAUAAUGGGAGGGAAAAGUAGAGCUGAAUAACCUGGUAUAUUUGGUUCUAAUUCUUAGGAAGAAUGUCUCCAUCGGACACAAGCCAUGAAUCAAUUGUUGGUGAAGAAGAUAUAAUUAGCAACUUGCCAAGGUAUGUAAUAAAUUGCAUUCUAGGAAAAAUUCCUAUCGUGAAGCUAUAAGGCGAGUAUUCUGUCAAAGAAGUGGAGAUUUUACUACUUAACCAUUCCACAAUUAGUAUUUGAUUACCAGUUUUGUGGAAAAGUUUAUGACUAUGUCACCAAGAAAAAUCGUUGUAGAUCUUCUAAGUCUGAGCUCAGGUACCGAUUCAAUGAAAUUGUCACCAAGUCUCUUAUGCUUCAUCCUGUUGGAAUAGAUAAAUUAAAAGUGUGCAUUCCUAAUUUAAAGUCAACAAAGGUUCCUGAUGGUGGUUUAGCUGUGGUUCAUGGUGUGAACAUAUGGAUACUAUAUUUAUCUCAGAGAAACAUCAAUAAUUAACCUUAAUAUGCGAUAAUGAUUUAAAUUAUCGUCAUAAGUUACCUCCUUAUUUCUUUCUUGUCUAGACUUGGCAUUUUUGAAGCUCUAGAAUUUUGUUCUUUCGCCACCGCUAGAGUUUAAAGGGUUUCUAAAUCUCUACCAAUUAAUACUUACUCGGGUUGACUUUGUCAAUAACUGUUUUGAAAGUUUUCUUUCUAGCUACCCUCUUCUUCAAAGGCUAAGCUUGCGCCAUUGCUCUGGUAUUCAUCAUUUUAAUAUCAACCGUAUUAAUCUUAAGAGGUUGUCCGUCGAUGCUGAUGAUAAGAUAAAAUCAAUCUCCUUAGAGAAGGCUCCUAACUUGUCUGAAGUUUGUAUUUAUCUGGAGAGAGUUGUAAGAGGCAAUCAUGUCUCCGAUUUGGCU
This is a long non-coding RNA of Nicotiana attenuata, 1834 nucleotides long. RefSeq lists it as uncharacterized. NCBI's taxonomy places the organism in Eukaryota, Viridiplantae, Streptophyta, Magnoliopsida, Solanales, Solanaceae. The transcript is spliced from 4 exons. The record is from RefSeq and is a predicted model, not a curated record.